Molecule: ribosomal RNA, 309 nt
Filed under: Triticum aestivum (bread wheat)
Lineage: Eukaryota; Viridiplantae; Streptophyta; Magnoliopsida; Poales; Poaceae
Description: partial small subunit ribosomal RNA
Source: RNAcentral
AUGGCUGAAAUGGCCGUGAAGUUAAAAGAUGCUACCGACCGCAAUGAGGCUCUUGGGAAGGAGCGCCUAGCGGGGCAAGAAGACCUGGGGAAGGCCACCGCCGAAGCCAAGGAUGCCCGCUCUGCAAUGCGGGCUAUAAAGGAAGAGCUGCGCCAGGCCGGAGAUAUUGUAGCUGGCAAGCCUUUUCUGUUGCGCCGAAGGUUUACGGAUCCAAAGUAUGCUCAGCUGGGCCAACUGUGGGGUCUAGAGGACCCUUAUAUGGAUUUAGCAGCGAGUGCGGCGGAUGCCGUUGUGCAUUUUCGAAGCUAG